AGUGAACGCUGGCGGUAGGCCUAACACAUGCAAGUCGAACGGCAGCACAGGAGAGCUUGCUCUCUAGGUGGCGAGUGGCGGACGGGUAAGGAAUACAUCGGAAUCUGCCCAGUCGUGGGGGAUAACGUAGGGAAACUUACGCUAAUACCGCAUACGACCUUCGGGUGAAAGAGGGGGAUCGCAAGACCUCUCGCGAUUGGAUGAGCCGAUGUCGGAUUAGCUAGUUAGCGGGGUAAUGGCCCACCAAGGCGACGAUCCGUAGCUGGUCUGAGAGGAUGAUCAGCCACACUGGAACUGAGACACGGUCCAGACUCCUACGGGAGGCAGCAGUGGGGAAUAUUGGACAAUGGGCGCAAGCCUGAUCCAGCCAUACCGCGUGGGUGAAGAAGGCCUUCGGGUUGUAAAGCCCUUUUGUUGGGAAAGAAAUCUUUCAGGCUAAUACCCUGGGAGGAUGACGGUACCCAAAGAAUAAGCACCGGCUAACUUCGUG
This 490-nucleotide ribosomal RNA is filed under the name uncultured bacterium. Its description in RNAcentral is "partial 16S ribosomal RNA". It matches the Rfam family "Bacterial small subunit ribosomal RNA", at positions 29 to 507 of the family's 1533-position model. The record is from RNAcentral.